This is a non-coding RNA of Xyrichtys novacula (pearly razorfish), 79 nucleotides long. Lineage: Eukaryota; Metazoa; Chordata; Actinopteri; Labriformes; Labridae. The record is from the annotation of a GenBank genome assembly.
AGUCUGGGUCUGCAGUCUUUGAUAGUCUGGGUUUACAAAGACUGUAAACCCAGACUAUCAAAGACUGCAGACCUAGACU